AACGUAGGAGGCGAGCGUUAUCCGGAUUCACUGGGCGUAAAGCGCGUGCAGGCGGUUCGGUAAGUUGGGUAUGAAAUCUCCUGGCUUAACUAGGAGAGGUUAUCCAAUACUACCGGACUAGAGAGUGGUAGAGGAAGAUGGAAUUCCAGGUGUAGUGGUGAAAUGCGUAGAUAUCUGGAGGAACACCAGUGGCGAAAGCGAUCUUCUGGACCAUUUCUGACGCUCAGACGCGAAAGCUAGGGUAGUAAACGGG
This 253-nucleotide ribosomal RNA is filed under the name uncultured bacterium. Its description in RNAcentral is "partial 16S ribosomal RNA". It matches the Rfam family "Bacterial small subunit ribosomal RNA", at positions 524 to 776 of the family's 1533-position model. The record is from RNAcentral.